Molecule: long non-coding RNA, 220 nt
Organism: Ostrinia furnacalis (Asian corn borer)
Lineage: Eukaryota; Metazoa; Arthropoda; Insecta; Lepidoptera; Crambidae
Exons: 3
Source: RefSeq, a predicted model, not a curated record
GGAGGAGCGCAUACGCAACUACAACUACAUUGGUUUUCAAAUUACGAUAGUCAUAAAACGCGUAAUCGCUAACCGCCGCGGUAGAUCUAGACGGUUUUAAUUGUAUUUAACACGAGAAACGAAGAAUAGAGCAAUGGUGCAAGAUUUCAACCAAGCAGUUGAUGGUGCGUUAGUGACUUGUAAUGGCUGAUUGGCGAUAUUAACAAGCUUGAAAGCUGCA